Nomascus leucogenys (northern white-cheeked gibbon) is the source of this 804-nucleotide RNA transcript. It is a transcript of the gene named 40S ribosomal protein S15a pseudogene, with no coding region annotated. The transcript has a single exon. NCBI's taxonomy places the organism in Eukaryota, Metazoa, Chordata, Mammalia, Primates, Hylobatidae. The record is from RefSeq and is a predicted model, not a curated record.
CAUGAACCACCACGCCUAGCCUUACGUUUUGUGUUUUCAUCUGCAUCUGCCAUGAAUGAGGAAGAAUGCCUUUUCAUAUUCUUGGAGGGAGGUUCUGGAGAGGGUGACCAAGUGGCUUCAGGCCUUCCUGAGACACAAGGGAACCCCUCUGGAGCAGCUUCUAGUGGAAGGCCAGGCAGACCUGGAUCUAAUUUUAGUCUUUCAUGCCCUAACUCUGUGCUCUGAAGGGAGUGACUCAACUUCUCUGAGCCUCAGUUUCCCUCUCAUAAAAUGACUGGGAUUGUGAUCAGGGGUGGGGGAUAAAAAGGAAGAGAAGGCUCUUUCCGCCAUCUUUCCGCACCGCCACAAUGGUGCGCAUGAAUGUCCUGGCUGAUGCUCUCAAGAGCAUCAACAAUGCCGAAAAGAGAGGCAAACGCCAGGUGCUUAUUGGGCCAUGCUCCAAAGUCAUCAUCCUGUUUCUCACUGUGAUGAUGAAGCAUGGUUACAUUGGCAAAUUUGAAAUCAUUGAUGAUCACAGAGCUGGGAAAAUUGCUGUGAACCUCACAGGCAGGCUAAACAAGUGUGGAGUGAUCAGCCCCAGAUUUGAUGUGCAACUCAAAGAUCUGGUAAAAUGGCAGAAUAAUCUGCUUCCAUCCCGCCAGUUUGGUUUCAUUGUACUGACAACCUCAGCUGGCAUCAUGGACCAUGAAGAAGCAAGACGAAAACACACAGGAGGGAAAAUCCUGGGAUUCUUUUCCUAGGGAGGUAAUAUAUAUAUUUACAAAUAAAAUGCCUCAUGGACUCUGGUGCUUCCAAAAGAAAAAA